RNAcentral lists this ribosomal RNA (601 nucleotides) under uncultured bacterium. RNAcentral's name for it is "bacterial SSU rRNA". The stretch from base 1 to 518 matches the Rfam family "Bacterial small subunit ribosomal RNA", at positions 338 to 873 of the family's 1533-position model. The record is from RNAcentral.
CCUACGGGAGGCAGCAGUGGGGAAUAUUGGACAAUGGGCGAAAGCCUGAUCCAGCAAUGCCGCGUGAGUGAUGAAGGCCUUCGGGUCGUAAAGCUCUUUUACCAGGGAUGAUAAUGACAGUACCUGGAGAAUAAGCUCCGGCUAACUCCGUGCCAGCAGCCGCGGUAAUACGGAGGGAGCUAGCGUUGUUCGGAAUUACUGGGCGUAAAGAGUACGUAGGCGGUUAUUCAAGUCAGAGGUGAAAGCCCGGGGCUCAACCCCGGAACUGCCUUUGAAACUAGAUAACUAGAGUCUUGGAGAGGUUAGUGGAAUUCCGAGUGUAGAGGUGAAAUUCGUAGAUAUUCGGAAGAACACCAGUGGCGAAGGCGACUAACUGGACAAGUACUGACGCUGAGGUACGAAAGCGUGGGGAGCAAACAGGAUUAGAUACCCUGGUAGUCCACGCCGUAAACGAUGAUAACUAGUUGUUCGGUCACUUGGUGACUGAGUGACGCAGCUAACGCAUUAAGUUAUCCGCCUGGGGGUGGUACGGUCGCGAGAAUAAACUAACAAUAGUAAUAGACGCGNGAGACGNGCCGACGACGACGACGAGGGAGGUAGG